AUUAGGUGGGAUGUGAUCGCACAGGUCACAUGCCUGCGAACGACUCCUGUUAAUCAACACAUAGUCACAUGCAUAACGCUAACAAUAAUCAUACCCUGAGAAUUUCACCCAAACAUUGAAAAAAAUAAAAUCAUAUGUAUACACCUGUUCACCAAUGAUAUCAACCAUUACUAUAAGAAAACCAUUUAUACAUAUCCUAAGCAGAAUAUAAACAAACUCUCUGUGAUAACGUAAAUAUGUAC
This 242-nucleotide long non-coding RNA is filed under the name Actinidia chinensis (golden kiwifruit). RNAcentral's name for it is "long non-coding RNA (ACHI_LNC008089)". Lineage: Eukaryota; Viridiplantae; Streptophyta; Magnoliopsida; Ericales; Actinidiaceae. The record is from RNAcentral.